RNA transcript from Haplochromis burtoni (Burton's mouthbrooder), 3736 nucleotides. It is a transcript of the gene named nectin-3, with no coding region annotated. NCBI's taxonomy places the organism in Eukaryota, Metazoa, Chordata, Actinopteri, Cichliformes, Cichlidae. The transcript is spliced from 9 exons. The record is from RefSeq and is a predicted model, not a curated record.
AGCCAUUUUAUAGCCCGCCUACUUUCUUUGCUAGACUCCCAAGAAAAUCAUCGGUUCUGUUGUGUUCUAGCAUUUUUGUGCUGUGGACUUUUUUCUCCCGGAAGUUGAAAUGCGUAAAUAUUAGGAUUAGUGGACAGCGAUUAUUAGCGGAUGGAUGGAGCUGCUUCCUAUACCGUCCAUAUGUGACUCUGCGCUGCUACGUGUCCUUCUCCUGACGUUGUCUCUUCUAUGUGCUGAUGUGGAAGCUCUCCGGGUGAUUGGCGGAAGUGUGACAGUGAAACAAGGAAGUACUGCUAUCUUAUCGUGCUAUGUCACUGGUACCAAUGAUGACCUGACACAGAUUACCUGGCAGAGGAAGACUAGAGAAAAACCUCGCAAUGACAAUUUCCUAACUAUCCUACCCAGAGAGGGAGUGCAGUUUGUCAAUGGAGGUGAUGAUCGAUUUAAAUAUAUUGGGAAUUUUAACAACAAAAAUGGAACUCUCCAGUUAUCCAAUGUUGCCCUGAAGGAUGAAGGCAGAUACACGUGCAUCUUCACCUUGUUUCCCAGUGGAAAUCAGAAGAUUGAGAUACCUCUAAACGUGCUUGUGCCUCCUUUCACAAGCGUCAAGGACAAUCUUCCCACUUUGGGCACAGAAGAGGUUUUAUUUGCUACCUGCACGGCUGUUGGAUCGAAGCCUCCUGCAGAGGUGAGGUGGCUCACUGGUGCUUUGGGAGACAAAGUGAGGACGACGGCAAACUCCACCCAGUAUGACAACGAUACAACUACCACUGUCAGCUCGUUGUUUGGUGUUCCUACGAGAGAGAUUAACGGUCACCAGGUCCAGUGUGUCAUCAGCGGUGACUCUCUGUCUAAAGAAGAGAGUCUGCUCUUCACUAUACAGAUCUACUUUUCUCCCACAGAAGUGAACAUUAGAAUGAUUUCAGAGGACUCGUUCGAGUGUGUGACAGAAGCCAAACCAAAUGCAAACUUUACCUGGAGCAGAUCUGGCCAGUCUUUGCUGGAGUCUUCUGUCAAAAUAGACGGUGCAAAGCUACAACUGCUGAGCCUGACCUCUGAUCUAAAUGGCCUUUAUCAGUGUGAAGCAUCUAACACAUAUGGAAGUAAACGUGGUCAGCUCUAUGUGCAUGUGGCAUCAGGAACUUUGUCUUCAGCCAGUAUCGCUUCACUCAAAAGGCGAUGGAAAAAGGUGCUUCGACUUACGAAAAUUUUGACUUACGAAAGGACCCCCUGGAACGAAUUAAUUUCGAUCGUGCUCUGCUGCAUGGGCCUUACUUGGUGUUUUUAUAUGUGUUUUUUUCCUGAGCAUCGUUGGGGCUGCAGUAUGGUACUUUUAUACACAUGAAGAUCAAAGGCGUAGGUUUACAUUUUUUUGGCAGCGUGUCCCAACAAAUGAACCAGCUGGUAACAGUGCAGCGCAACAAGAACAACAUCAGAUGGAGUAAUCUCUGUGACAGCUGUGGAAGCAAAGGAUGAGCAAUAUCUGGACUGAAUGCUCGACCAACAUGUCAUUCUAGAGUCAGCUACUAAAUGAACAGAUGAAGAACAGGUGGAGGUACUUGGUGUCCGUUUAUCUCUCUGCCCCACUUUUGUUUAUCAUGUCUUAGUUUUUAAUGAAGUUUCUUUAUUGCUUUUUCUUGUACUGCCAUGGCAUUUAGGUUCUACCUUGACAUACCAGCUCUGGCUAAUAUGAAUGGCAGUUUUUCUCUGACAUUUACAUCUCCUGAUAACACAAGCCGUUAAGCUACUGAGGAUUUCAACCCACAGGGCUUCUGUUUAAAACAGUGUUAUCAGUACACCACAGAGCCUCACACAGACAAUAGGUUCAGACGGCACAAACAGCCAAGUGAAGCACACUGUCUGACUACCAUAUAUAGUACAUAACACUUGAAAAAUAGAGCCCCACCCUUGUUAGUGCACGGCAGAUGUUUUGCUUGGAAAUCUAACAUAAAGCAACAUACAAAGAAAUUUGAAAGAAAAAAAAAAUAUUUUAAAAAAUCUUAGUGAGGUUUUGUUACUGUGUUGAAUUAUUGGUUGUUUCGUUUUGUUUUUUUCAUUAAUUUGAAGAAAAUCAAAGGUCUUCACCCUUGAAAUUUUUUAAUUUAACUGUAAAAAGCAGUACGUUAUAGCAUUUUACAGGAGAGUAUAGUUACAAAGGUCACAUUUCUCUCAUUAAUCAUUAAUCUUAAUGACUGUAUUAACUUAGAUUACAUGCUGGUCAAUGUUUAAUGUGAAACUAGAACAGAACACCAAAGCAUACACACUAAAAUGCUGGAAAUUCUGUGGUGGUACUCAACACACUGCAGUUUAAAAGUCUGCUUCAGCAGGAAAGAAAAGUUUGAGAAAAUUAAACAAGCUAUUUAUGAUUUUAUAGUAUUCACACACGUAAUAAGUUAUUAGUUCGAUGUUAUCUUCCUAUUUUCGCUCUUUGUCAUAAUGUGCAGUGUGAGGAAUAAUAAAAAACAGCGACUGAUCAGCAAGAGUAACCAAUUGAUACAGAAGUAAAAGCAAAGAUUUGUCCAGGUGUAGGAAAGAAGUAUUCCCUACAUCCCCCUUCAUGAAUCACCACCUUAUCGCGGUAAAGGGGUUUGCGUGUCCUUCUGAUCCCAGGAGCUGUGUUGUCGGGGACAGUUUGUCCCUGGUAGGGUCUCCCAAGACAAUUUGUUCAUGGGUAAAGGGCCAGACCAAGUGUGAUUCAAAAGAGUUCGAUGAUGAGAAGUUACUUGACAAAAUCUUGGUUACCAGGGCCCGUUCAUAAGGCCAAACUUAGUCAAGGAGCUAUUUUUGGAAACACCCAUUAUUCAUGGGUCCUGGCUGACCCCAGUUACUCCAGUGAACCCAUCACCUGCUGGAGGGGCCAUAGUGGUCCAGUGUUACGUGGAUCAGGUGCUAAAACUGGUUUGUGAUAUACGGUGAUAAUCAAGUGUUCCUUCAAGUGUGAGCAGUGUACUAUGUUGAGUAUCAUACAUAAUGAGAAAGGUUUUCUAAAAUGUCCACUCAGGCAAAACAAGCUUUGUUAAUGAUUCAUAACUCCAGCUGCUGUAGGUGGAGAGCAGUGACCAGUCUAUAAAGUCACACUUCAUACAUGGAUUUAUGAAAUUUAUUGCUAAUUAACAAACAUUCAUUGUUUUAUGAUUAGAUUUUUUUCCCACCAGAUUUGUCAUAGACUGAAAUAUUAUGUGAUAGAUCAGAAGGUGGGCGUAUUGUGUGAGGAUGUUAGCGUGAUGUCAAGUUGAAAGUAAAAUUUUAAUUAUAUUCUAUGUUUUCAUGUGUUAAGUGCUUAUUCUAAAUUAUUAUCAUUGAAUUCGGGGGGUUAAUGUUCUAGUGUUGUUGAUUCACAGUUUUCAUUGUCUCACUGGUCAUGAUGGUACUUAUGUGAAUGUUUCAGUAUAAAACUUUUUACAGUUUUAAAUAGUGAAGCAAACUGCAGCUAUUAAUGAUUGCUACAAAACAAUACCUCUUUUUAUACUUUUUAGAAGUGUAUUCUGGUACUGCCUAAAGUUUUUGUAUUAAGCUGCUUCACUUUUGUAAAAGGUUAAUUUGCAUAUUUAACUGCUGUUUACAAACAAGCUUGAAGGGGGCCACAGCAGCGUGUUGUUUUAUACUAUUUAUAUUUUAGGAUAGAAACUGCUGACUCAUCUUGUCUGGAUCUUGUUGCUAAAUCUGUUUUUAGAUUUAGUAAUGGAUGUAAAGAUAUUCUUUGCCUUUUUCCUGCAUACUGCUGAAUAUUGUAAAU